UCGGGUAAUGAGACCGGCGCACGGGUGCGUAACGCGUAUGCAAUCUACCUUUUACAGGGGAAUAGCCCAGAGAAAUUUGGAUUAAUGCCCCAUAGUAUAUAACAUUCGCAUGUUUGUUAUAUUAAAGUUCCAACGGUAAAAGAUGAUCAUGCGUCCCAUUAGUUAGUUGGUAAGGUAACGGCUUACCAAGACUAUGAUGGGUAGGGGUCCUGAGAGGGAGAUCCCCCACACUGGUACUGAGACACGGACCAAACUCCUACGGGAGGCAGCAGUGAGGAAUAUUGGACAAUGGGCGCAAGCCUGAUCCAGCCAUGCCGCGUGCAGGAAGAAGCAUCUAUGGUGUGUAAACUGCUUUUGUACAGGAAGAAACACUCCCUCGUGAGGGAGCUUGACGGUACUGUAAGAAUAAGGAUCGGCUAACUCCGUGCCAGCAGCCGCGGUAAUACGGAGGAUCCAAGCGUUAUCCGGAAUCAUUGGGUUUAAAGGGUCCGUAGGCGGUUUGAUAAGUCAGUGGUGAAAGCCCAUCGCUCAACGAUGGAACGGCCAUUGAUACUGUCAGACUUGAAUUACUAGGAAGUAACUAGAAUAUGUAGUGUAGCGGUGAAAUGCUUAGAUAUUACAUGGAAUACCAAUUGCGAUGGCAGGUUACUACUAGUGGAUUGACGCUGAUGGACGAAAGCGUGGGGAGCGAACAGGAUUAGAUACCCUGGUAGUCCACGCCGUAAACGAUGGAUACUAGCUGUUGGGUGCAAACUCAGUGGCUAAGCGAAAGUGAUAAGUAUCCCACCUGGGGAGUACGUUCGCAAGAAUGAAACUCAAAGGAAUUGACGGAGGCACGCACAAGCGGUCGGAGCAUG
This 857-nucleotide ribosomal RNA is filed under the name uncultured bacterium. RNAcentral describes it as "bacterial SSU rRNA". It matches the Rfam family "Bacterial small subunit ribosomal RNA", at positions 82 to 941 of the family's 1533-position model. The record is from RNAcentral.